UAUUUUUAAUUAUAAGACCCCUAAAUUAAUGAUUUAAUCACAUUUUAAGGGUAAAAUCUUAUUUAAAAAGGAGUUGGUAAAGUACAAAAAGAAGAAGUGUUGACCUUACCUUAGUUAUGACGCAAGCAACCCCCUCACCCACUCCAUGACAACCCACACUCCUCCCCACCAUACCUUGUACUUUUUACCUCCCUCACAAGCCACCUCCAUGCUUUGAGGGCUGGAUAAUCAUCCUCUCUCCUCAUUUUUCUUUCAUUUGUUCUCAUUUCACAAGAAGAUCAAACUCCUUUCUCUCUCACUUUCUCUCUCUAGAAAUCCAAGAUUCAAGGGCUGAUCUUGAGAGUUUCCUCCACCUUUGGUAAGCAUAAUCCAUUUCCUUUAUGAUUACCUCUAUUAUUUCCACUCAAAUCAUGGAUAUCUUACACAAACUCCAUUAUAUUUGUGUUAGAGCUUCGAAUCUUCAAACGGUUCUUCUAGUGUUCUUGGGUUGAACACUUCUCUUCUUCAUCACUUAUCUACUGAAAUCACACAAGGUGAGUUCAUACCCCUACAUUUUCACGUUUUCUCAAGUUUUUAGGGGGGGAAUACAAGUUAAAAUGCUUAGAACAUAACUACAUUCUUCUAACAGCUUUCAUCAGAAAAGUUUCACUCCAUUCACGGACUGUUUUGGACAUCUUAAAUAUUUUUGUUUUCAAAACUGUUUUAGGUGCAUGUAGUUCCACUUCUUAGCUUUAAAAUGACUACUUGCACAUCUCCAUACGAUUUUUCUACAAUUUAUGGUGAUUUUUACAAAACCGCCUAUCAUUUCAAACAUCAAUCCGGACCAGUCUGUGAUUAUGGACUUUUUCACCCAAGUUAGAGAUCAUUAAAAAUUAUAAUAAAAAUUAUGAACAAACUAGACUCAUUUUCCAAACUCUCAGAAGUUACAGAACCUGAUUUGGACAUUUUAUGAUUUUUCUACAAUUUUUCCAAUAUCAGUUACAGAAAAGGUUAUUAACAGAAAAACACAAUAAAUUUCAUUUCACCUUGUAACAUGUCGAGCAAGGUAUACAUCGUUAGUUGAUUAUGUGUAGUUGCAAUAUAUGACAAAUUUUGUAUUCCUACAUAGACAUACAUCAGAAAACACAUGGAUUUACAUCUUCACAAGUAUGACAAAAAUAUAUAUAUAUAUAUAUACGAUAUUACGAGGCUAUAUUCAUUAAAAUAUAAACAUUGAUAAAUUAUGACAAGUAAGGCCUAUGCUCAUUUCCACGAAAUCAACCGUUAAACUAUAAUAGGUAUAGUUUAGGGUCAUCCAUAUAACAAACACAAUAUUAAAGGUCUUACACUUACAUAAGAGUUAUUGCCGCUAUGGACGAUUAAGAUAAUCUAUAAUAAGUAUAGUUAAGCCAUUAUACCCCCACAAACGAACUCGUUAGUUAUAAUUGGUAUAGUUAUGGUAAAUACAUAUUACAAACAAAGUAGUAAACUAUAAUAGGUAUAGUUUAUGUUUCAUAGACUCUAGGAACUUAAUUACAAGAAAGGAAUUCACCAUCACUUCGAUAGGCUAUCCAUAUGCAUAGUUCAGGUUCACUAAUCUCUAUUACUCCCCGGUGAACUAUGAUAUGUAUAGGUUACACUCACUAUCACCAUCACUUUGAUAGGCUAUUCAUAUGCAUAGUUCAGGUUCACUAAUCUCUAUUACUCCCCGGUGAACUAUGAUAUGUAUAGGUUACACUCACCAUCACCAUCACUUUGAUAAGCUAUCAUAUGCAUAGUUCAGGUUCACUAAUCUCUAUUACUCCCCGGUGAACUAUGAUAUGUAUAGGUUAUAUUCACGAUAGAUUUUCGUAUUGUUAGACUUCAACUAUAAUCGUUGAGCGUAUAUGCUUGAGUCAUACAAGAAUUUAGUCUGGAUUGGCUUAGAAUUGGUGGUGCCCGCCUCAUCUCCUAUUCCUUGUUUGGUUGUGGACCUAGGGCGGACCCAUUAUAUUCGACGUUUUAUCUAACAUAAAUAUUAUAUAACUUAUAUAUGCUGGACAAUUAUAGGGGAAAGCUACGGGUAAAUCUAGAAUUCAUCAUCGCAUCGUAUAAGAUUAUUCUGUUUACACUUAACUAAGAAAAUAUGGGAUUUUCUGGAAAUCAAACUUCAUCGAUUUUAAAAAGGAAAACGGUUUCUACUCCAACAAAACUCUUAUGAACUCACCAACUUAAUUGUUGACACUUUUUCAAAACUACUUGUAUUCUCAGGAAACCAGUGAAACAGGAAAACUUCAGCGCUUUGAGGAUGGGACGAUAAACCGUCAACAAUCUAUUUUUGUCAUCAUAUUGUAAUUGAUUUUGAAACAUGUAAACAUACACUUUGAUGUAACUCUUUCAAUUAUAUUUAUGAUGGUUGUAUUUACUUUGAGCACUAUUAUACACGUUGUUGUGAUACUGUACAUGAAGUCCUCCACCCCUGGACGUUUCCGCCAUCCUUGGUUUGGGGGUGUGACAGAUUGGUAUCAGAGCAUUGUUUAUAGUGAACUCAGUAUAUCGAACCACAUAAGAUAUACAAACU
Molecule: long non-coding RNA, 2539 nt
Filed under: Lactuca sativa (garden lettuce)
Lineage: Eukaryota; Viridiplantae; Streptophyta; Magnoliopsida; Asterales; Asteraceae
Description: long non-coding RNA (LSAT_LNC007035)
Source: RNAcentral